RNAcentral lists this ribosomal RNA (471 nucleotides) under uncultured bacterium. Its description in RNAcentral is "bacterial SSU rRNA". It matches the Rfam family "Bacterial small subunit ribosomal RNA", at positions 355 to 825 of the family's 1533-position model. The record is from RNAcentral.
UGGGGAAUAUUGGACAAUGGGGGAAACCCUGAUCCAGCCAUGCCGCGUGUGUGAAGAAGGCCCUCGGGUUGUAAAGCACUUUCAGCGAGGAAGAACGCCUAACGGUUAAUACCCGCUAGGAAAGACAUCACUCGCAGAAGAAGCACCGGCUAACUCCGUGCCAGCAGCCGCGGUAAUACGGAGGGUGCAAGCGUUAAUCGGAAUUACUGGGCGUAAAGCGCGCGUAGGUGGCUUGAUAAGCCGGUUGUGAAAGCCCCGGGCUCAACCUGGGAACGGCAUCCGGAACUGUCAAGCUAGAGUGCAGGAGAGGAAGGUAGAAUUCCCGGUGUAGCGGUGAAAUGCGUAGAGAUCGGGAGGAAUACCAGUGGCGAAGGCGGCCUUCUGGACUGACACUGACACUGAGGUGCGAAAGCGUGGGUAGCAAACAGGAUUAGAUACCCUGGUAGUCCUGAGCGGGCUGGCAAGGCGCAU